UCAAGCUAUAAAGAGCGCAAGGGGAAUGCCUUGGCAUCAGGAGCCGACGAAGGACGUGACAAGCUGCGAUAAGCUACGGUGAGGAGCAAAUAUCCUGUGACCCGUAGAUUUCCGAAUGGGGCAACCCGGCUGGACAAUAUCCAGUCAUCCUGCAUUGAAUCAAAUAGGUGUAGGAAGGGAACCGCCUGAACUGAAACAUCUAAGUAGGGCGAGGAAAAGACAUCAACCGAGAUUCCGCAAGUAGUGGCGAGCGAACGCGGAAGAGGCCAAACCGGAGGAUUUAUUCUCCGGGGUUGCGGACAGCUAUACGGAACAAUAGUUUAGCCGAACGGUCUGGGAAGGCCGGUCACAGAGGGUGAGAACCCCGUAGGCGAAAGACGAAUUGUUUCAGGCUGGAUCCAGAGUACCGCAGGACACGUGAAACCCUGUGGGAAACAGGGGGGACCACCCUCCAAGCCUAAAUACUACCUGAUGACCGAUAGAGGAGCAGUACCGUGAGGGAAAGGUGAAAAGGACCCCGGGAGGGGAGUGAAAGAGAACCUGAAACCUUGUGCUUACAAGCAGUCAGAGCACGUUAACGUGUGAUGGCGUACUUUUUGUAGAACGGUCCGGCGAGUUAUAGUAACGAGCAAGCUUAAGGUAUUCAGUACCGGAGGCGAAGCGAAAGCGAGUCUGAAUAGGGCGUAUGAAGUUCGUUGCCAUAGACCCGAAACCGGGUGACCUACGCAUGAGCAGGUUGAAGUGGGGGUGAAACCCCAUGGAGGACCGAACCAACCCCCGUUGCAAUGGUGGUGGAUGACUUGUGCGUAGCGGUGAAAUUCCAAUCGAACUCGGAGAUAGCUGGUUCUCCCCGAAAUAGCUUUAGGGCUAGCGUUAGUUUAGAUUACCGGAGGUAAAGCACUGAAUGGUUUAGGGGCUGAUAAAGUUACCGACGCCUAUCAAACUCUGAAUGCCGGAUAAUUGAUGACUAGCAGUCAGACAGUGUGAGAUAAGUUUCAUUGUCAAAAGGGAAACAGCCCAGACCUACAGCUAAGGUCCCAAAUGUAUGCUAAGUGGAAAACGAUGUGGAAUUGCGAAAACAACCAGGAUGUUGGCUUAGAAGCAGCCACUCAUUAAAAGAGUGCGUAAUAGCUCACUGGUCGAGUGACUCUGCGCGGAAAAUGUAACGGGGCUAAGCAUGCAACCGAAGCUUAGGAUUGUCUAAAGACAGUGGUAGGGGAGCGUUCUGUAUGGGGUGAAGUCGCAGCGAGAGCAGCGGUGGACUGUACAGAAGUGAGAAUGCCGGAAUGAGUAGCGAGAAUUAUGUGGGAAUCAUAAUGGCCGAAAAUCUAAGGUUUCUUGGGGAAGGUUCGUCCGCCCAAGGUAAGUCGGGAGCUAAGCUCAGGCCGCGAGGCGUAGGCGAUGCACAUACGGUAGAAAUUCCGUAACCACCGAACUUUAAGCAUGAGGGACACUUUGAGAUAGCGGAACCCGGGCGUUGGUUGACCCGGGCGAAAGGGACCGAAAUAUAGUAGGGAAGUCCGCGAUGCUCGGAGGCGAGAAAAGCUCAUGUGUAUACUAAGGUGCCCGUACCGCAAACCGACACAGGUAGAUGAGGAGAGAAUCCUAAGGCCAACGGGAGAAGGGUUGUUAAGGAACUCGGCAAGAUGACCCCGUAACUUCGGAAGAAGGGGAGCCUCGAAAGAGGCCGCAGUGAAUAGGCCCAAGCAACUGUUUACCAAAAACACAGGUUUAUGCUAAAUCGAAAGAUGACGUAUAUGAGCUGACGCCUGCCCGGUGCCGGAAGGUUAAGAGGAGAUGUCAACCGCGAGGUGAAGCAUUGAAUUGAAGCCCCGGUAAACGGCGGCCGUAACUAUAACGGUCCUAAGGUAGCGAAAUUCCUUGUCAGGUAAG
This 1893-nucleotide ribosomal RNA is filed under the name metagenome. RNAcentral describes it as "bacterial LSU rRNA". It matches the Rfam family "Bacterial large subunit ribosomal RNA", at positions 3 to 1980 of the family's 2925-position model. The record is from RNAcentral.